This 497-nucleotide ribosomal RNA is filed under the name uncultured bacterium. RNAcentral describes it as "partial 16S ribosomal RNA". It matches the Rfam family "Bacterial small subunit ribosomal RNA", at positions 28 to 507 of the family's 1533-position model. The record is from RNAcentral.
GAUGAACGCUGGCGGCGUGCCUAAUACAUGCAAGUCGAGCGAACAGACGAGGAGCUUGCUCCUCUGACGUUAGCGGCGGACGGGUGAGUAACACGUGGAUAACCUACCUAUAAGACUGGGAUAACUUCGGGAAACCGGAGCUAAUACCGGAUAAUAUAUUGAACCGCAUGGUUCAAUAGUGAAAGACGGUUUUGCUGUCACUUAUAGAUGGAUCCGCGCCGCAUUAGCUAGUUGGUAAGGUAACGGCUUACCAAGGCAACGAUGCGUAGCCGACCUGAGAGGGUGAUCGGCCACACUGGAACUGAGACACGGUCCAGACUCCUACGGGAGGCAGCAGUAGGGAAUCUUCCGCAGUGGGCGAAAGCCUGACGGAGCAACGCCGCGUGAGUGAUGAAGGUCUUCGGAUCGUAAAACUCUGUUAUUAGGGAAGAACAAAUGCGUAAGUAACUAUGCACGUCUUGACGGUACCUAAUCAGAAAGCCACGGCUAACUACGUG